Molecule: long non-coding RNA, 3099 nt
Organism: Callithrix jacchus (white-tufted-ear marmoset)
Lineage: Eukaryota; Metazoa; Chordata; Mammalia; Primates; Cebidae
Source: Ensembl
UGCUGGUGAGGGUUACAUGAAUUAGCACACGGAAAGCAUGGAGCACAGUGCAUGGCACAUAGUAGGUGCUGAGUACACGUGGCUGUUGUGGUCUAUUCCACACCACCCCGCCACAACGGCUGCCUUAGAUUUUGACCGCUGUUAACUGUCUUAACCGCCUGAAGCUCUGUCGAGACUUCCCGGUACAGGUCUGUGUUAGUUAUGUACAGUGUGGCAAAUGACCACACACUUAGCAGCAUUUAUCCCCUCCCAGUCUCCGUGAUCAGGAGCGUGAGCACGGUUCAGCUGCAUCCUGUCAUUCAGUCUCAUGAGGCUGCAAUCUGGGUAUCAGUCAAGGCUGCAGGCUUACCUGAGGCUCAGCUGGGGAGGCUCACGUGGUCGUUGACAGAAUUGUUUCUUGCGGCUAUAGGAUGAGGACCUCGCUCUCUUGCUGGCUGCUGGGGGUCCUUGCAGCUAUGAGCUGGAGGCUGCCCGAGCCCCUGGCCCUGGGAGGUCCCGGGACCUGGUUGGCUGCUCGCUUCCUCAAGGCCCGUGGGGAGAGAGGAGCUCUAGCAGCAGCAGAACAAUAUUGUGUGGAUUCUUCCGUCUCACCCGGUUCAGACUUUUUUUUGGAGCCGCAGCCUCUACAAGAUCAGGGCUGCGUGUGGGUCAGGGCCAGGGUGUGAGCUCAGGCCAGGCAUGAGAACAGAGCUCCAGGGAGAUGCUAGGAAGGGACCGGGCUUUUGUUAGAUUGAUAAUAAACAAGCACAGGCCUUUCCAGGAGACACAGAGCCCAGAGCUAUCAAGACCUUGGGUUCUCUUCAUGAAAUAAGACACGAGACUGGGAGCUGCAGAUAACAGCAUGAAGGAGACCCAGGUUUGUUCCUUACACUGGGCAAAACCUCCCUGCUUAUCUGAGAUAAAGGCAGAAAUUGCUAUUUAUUCAGGUGCUACUCAAUCGUAUCCUCUUUUUGGCUCAGAGGAAGGAGUGCACAAUUCCUGCUGGACCAGGCCUCCGCGGAUGAAGUCUGUCUGGGCUGGAUCAUCACGCCCAACAGUGGGAGUGCAGGACUUCCCCAUGAGAAGGGGUGCUGGUCCAGUUUCCCUGUGCCAUGGAAAGAAGCACAGGGUGGGCAGAGCAGUGACCUGCUGGGCAGAGAGCAAAACUGGGUUUAUGAACUGUCUUUGGCUAUGAUGAAACGCUGGCUUCCCCGAGUGAAGUGUCAUCCCUACUGCCUCCGUUCUUCGUGACCCUGAGUCUUGUGGACAGUGAGUCUCUACAACGUCCAGCUGAUCUUUCAGUUCUGCAGUUCGUCCCUUCGUGACUACUCAGCUGAAACCUUUCUGGUAAGAAUGCCCCAAGGUGAUGUGUGCCUCUGCAUGACAUCACAGACACAUAAGGCCAGGCUCUCCCAUGGCCUGGCGUCCGGGUCAGAGGGUCUCCUCCAGAUUUCUCCAUGGGAAGCACAGCUCUCCCUUUGGAGUUAAUACAGGCUGGGGAGGGGAUGACACUGUUAUCGGGGGGUCUUGGGUUUUGAGUGACAGAAAACUCAUUCAAACCUGCUUCCACACAAAACACUGGCAAGCAGAAGGAGUUUUCUGGCUUCAGUGUGUGGGGUCGCAAAGUUCAGCAUCACGUCUUUUCCCUCCAUCUCUUGCUGUUCUUCUUUCCAUUGGCCUCACACACAGGGAGGCUCUUUCUCUGUGACGGAAAAAGUGACCACAGCCCCAGGCUCACAGGUCCUUACACUUAGCCAUGAAAGGAAGAGACAGCUCCCUUUACAAAUGGUUCCAGCCUCCAAGGCCCUGGCCUGCCCCUGGCUGGGGUCUUAUCCCGUCUCUGUCACUGAUUGGUUAGACCUGUACAUGCAGCCUAAUUACUUUCUCUUAUCUGUGUCUCACCACGAUGGGGGAAGGAGUAUGAAUGAAGGCCACUGCUCGUGUGGCUGGACAUGCAGGGUCACAGGGAGAUCCCCUGCCCCCAGGUAAUCCCAGCGUUGGGUAGUUCUGCACCUGCACCUGCUGGUCUGAAGCCUAGGGCACCAGGGCCUGGGGGCAUAUGUGUGUGUGGUGGCAGUGAGGGGACACAAAGGGUGUGGGCCCGUCAGCAGGGGCGGACCCAAUGAUUGCAGGUGCAGGGCUGGGGCUGUGGGUUCUAGGCCUGGCUCCCCCACUUCAGCUCUGUGGACCUGCUUGUGCCAACUCUCCUCCCCUGUCAAAUGGAUCUAAGAGCACCUGUUGUGCUUUUCUCUAGGUCCACUGUUGUAAGGACCCUAAGAAAUUGUGGGCAUGUGAUACUUUGUAAAUGUAAAGGUCUCUAGGGAUGUGGCCCUUCAUUCUACAGAGAGCCUGGGCAUUGGUCUUGCCAUCGGUGUGCUUCCAGAAAUCCUUCACUCUCUCCCCAUAAUAACCAUAGUCAGCCCCCUUCAGGUCAGGUAGCAAUCUGGGGGCUUAAAGAAAGGUGGGUGGCACUCUGCUGUGUCAGGUGAGGAAGCAAGAGGAUAGGAGACAGACCCACCACUGUGCGCCUCACAGAAUGAGUUCUCAAUUUCACUUCUCAAUUGGAAGCAUAAAUCACAUUCUUCAGUGUGUCACUCUGCUUCGAAGGAAUCCACUAAGUUAUAUUGGAGAUUUUCAAGGUUGUGGUUUUUACUUGUUAACAAAUCAAGCAAGUUAAGGAAUUAUUGCUUGUUAGUAACGGUAGACGUCAUUUGAUAAAGACUUGGCCAGUCAACGGGAGGCAUGGUGCUGAUCACGUGCAGCAGGCAGGGUGUGGGGCAUGGGACCCAGGCUGGCCUACAGAAGGUGUGCCGUCCUGGGUCCUCUGGUUUCAAGUUGCCCUGACACAGGAAGAACCUGCAUGAGAAUAAAGCUAGCAUGAGGGAAACAGAGAGAAAGGGAGAGCGGAUUGCUCAAAACUUUGAGUUCUUGGAUCCAGCCACGUUACCUCUGUUUUGAACUGGGUUUAUACAUAUAUAUUAUAUACGCAUGUAUGUGUGUGUAUGGUUAUUUCGUGUUGGCUUUAUAUAUAUAUGCACGUGUGUAUAUAUAUAUGUAUGUGUGUGUAUAUAUACGUGUGUGUGUAUAUAUAUGUGUGUGUGUGUGUAUGGUUAUUUCGUG